GAUGAACGCUGGCGGCGUGCCUAACACAUGCAAGUCGAGCGAUCUUCUUCGGAAGAGAGCGGCGGACGGGUGAGUAACGCGUGGGUAACCUGCCCUGUACACACGGAUAACAUACCGAAAGGUAUGCUAAUACGAGAUAAUAUGCUUUUAUCGCAUGGUAGAAGUAUCAAAGCUCCGGCGGUACAGGAUGGACCCGCGUCUGAUUAGCUAGUUGGUAAGGUAACGGCUUACCAAGGCGACGAUCAGUAGCCGACCUGAGAGGGUGAUCGGCCACAUUGGAACUGAGACACGGUCCAAACUCCUACGGGAGGCAGCAGUGGGGAAUAUUGCACAAUGGGCGAAAGCCUGAUGCAGCAACGCCGCGUGAGCGAUGAAGGCCUUCGGGUCGUAAAGCUCUGUCCUCAAGGAAGAUAAUGACGGUACUUGAGGAGGAAGCCCCGGCUAACUACGUGCCAGCAGCCGCGGUAAU
This 469-nucleotide ribosomal RNA is filed under the name uncultured bacterium. RNAcentral's name for it is "bacterial SSU rRNA". It matches the Rfam family "Bacterial small subunit ribosomal RNA", at positions 28 to 524 of the family's 1533-position model. The record is from RNAcentral.